GAUGAACGCUGGCGGCGUGCCUAAUACAUGCAAGUCGAGCGAACGGACGAGAAGCUUGCUUCUCUGAUGUUAGCGGCGGACGGGUGAGUAACACGUGGAUAACCUACCUAUAAGACUGGGAUAACUUCGGGAAACCGGAGCUAAUACCGGAUGAUAUUUUGAACCGCAUGGUUCAAAAGUGAAAGACGGUCUUGCUGUCACUUAUAGAUGGAUCCGCGCUGCAUUAGCUAGUUGGUAAGGUAACGGAUUACCAAGGCAAUGAUGCAUAGCCGACCUGAGAGGGUGAUCGGCCACACUGGAACUGAGACACGGUCCAGACUCCUACGGGAGGCAGCAGUAGGGAAUCUUCCGCAAUGGGCGAAAGCCUGACGGAGCAACGCCGCGUGAGUGAUGAAGGUCUUCGGAUCGUAAAACUCUGUUAUUAGGGAAGAACAUAUGUGUAAGUAACUGUGCACAUCUUGACGGUACCUAAUCAGAAAGCCACGGCUAACUACGUG
Molecule: ribosomal RNA, 497 nt
Filed under: uncultured bacterium
Lineage: Bacteria
Description: partial 16S ribosomal RNA
Rfam family: Bacterial small subunit ribosomal RNA
Source: RNAcentral